GGAGCUGGUAGAGUUGGAGCUGGCAGAGACAUCUGAGAAGCUGUCACAAGGGGUCAACAUGAUUGUAAAGUUGGAACGCAUGGAAAGGUCUAAAAUGCCACUGUCUCUGGCCACUAGGAUCUCUGACUUCAUAUCGCUUCUGCCUUCCGAAUCUCCUGAAGGCCUGAGGAGAGAAGACACAUAGUCAUGCUGACUAAACCAGAUCACCUAGAAUUACCAAAUGGAAAGAUUGUGCCUGCAGCCUGGCCUGUUGCCCACAGCGGUCUACCUGCCACACUGGGAAAGAUCGAGCAGAGACAGAGAAGAAAAGGAGGCUCCAUUUUUCAGGCUGCUCUCCCGCAGGCUCAUGUUUUGUGUUCAUGCCAGGCAGAGAACACAAAAUGUUCCAAUAAAUAAGUAUCAAAGGUUAGUGGUGAAAAUGAAGGAGGAGGAGGCAUUGCGUGAAAAACUAAACAUGCAAAAUAUUACACACAAAGAGAACCAAAAUGCAGGUUCACUGGAAAUGAUAGACAAUAUGUUAAAACAAGAGGAGAGAAGAGAGCUGAAAUAAUCAAAUGGAAACACACAAUUUAGGGCUAAGAUCUUGUUGUGUUCAGCCACAAAUGAUGGCCAGCAGUGAGGAAUCUGUGUGUUCUCCACACUCUUCGCUCCUGGGAAGUCAACUCACAUGGACCAUGAUAUCAAUAUCUGCUCCUUCCCCUAAUAUCUGUUUGACCUUGGGUCAGUUACUUAAACUUCCUAAGCCUUAGUUUCUUUGUCUGGAAAAUAGGGAUAGUUAUACCUACCACACAACCACUUUGUAAUGAAUAUGUUGGAAAUUAUAUGCAAAUUGGCUUCCGUUGGUGUUUGGAACAUAGUAGGUUUUUAACUGGAAUAUAAUAGCUACCAUUAUCAGUAUCAUCAUAUUAAUUUAUAUUUCCAUCUUCAGCCCUUAACCCAGGAUCUUCAGUAAAUGUUGAAUUCUCAAAUUUGUUAAAUUCACUUGUCUAUACUAAUAUUUUACUCUAGGUUUCUUAGAAUAUUCUAGAUAAUAUUAUUAUGUAGAAUAUGUUAUGUAAGCUUCAUCUUAUCUGUAAAUAUAGUUUUACUUUUUCCUUUCUAAUUUUUAUGUCGAUUACUUCUUUUUCUUGGCUUAUUGAAUUGGCUAGGAUUCCCGUACAGUGUUGAAUACGUGCAGCAAGACUGCACAUCUUGCCUUGUUCCUGGUCCCACAGAGAGAAUAUCCAGUACUUCACAAUAAGUAUGUGUUAAUUGUAGAUUUUAUUAGAUUGAGGAAGUUCCCUUUCCUUUCAAGUCAGUCUUUUUAUUUUAAACAUGUAUUGAAGUUUUGUCAAAUGUCUUCAUCUAUUGGAAUAAUUAUACAUAUCUCUUUUUUAUUCUGUUAAUAUUACAUUUCAAUCUUCUGUCUACCUAAAAUCCCUAGAAUAAUCUCCAUUUGGCUAUGAUGUGUUGUGCUUUUAUAUAUUACUGAAUUCUAUAUGCCAAUAUUAUUAAAAUUUUCUGUCUUUAUGAGAAA
This is a long non-coding RNA of Homo sapiens (human), 1516 nucleotides long. Ensembl annotates it as CCDC26 long non-coding RNA. Its record names the gene CCDC26. The record is from Ensembl. Lineage: Eukaryota; Metazoa; Chordata; Mammalia; Primates; Hominidae.